This 497-nucleotide ribosomal RNA is filed under the name uncultured bacterium. RNAcentral's name for it is "partial 16S ribosomal RNA". It matches the Rfam family "Bacterial small subunit ribosomal RNA", at positions 28 to 507 of the family's 1533-position model. The record is from RNAcentral.
GAUGAACGCUGGCGGCGUGCCUAAUACAUGCAAGUCGAGCGAACAGACGAGGAGCUUGCUCCUCUGACGUUAGCGGCGGACGGGUGAGUAACACGUGGAUAACCUACCUAUAAGACUGGGAUAACUUCGGGAAACCGGAGCUAAUACCGGAUAAUAUAUUGAACCGCAUGGUUCAAUAGUGAAAGACGGUUUUGCUGUCACUUAUAGAUGGAUCCGCGCCGCAUUAGCUAGUUGGUAAGGUAACGGCUUACCAAGGCAACGAUGCGUAGCCGACCUGAGAGGGUGAUCGGCCACACUGGAACUGAGACGCGGUCCAGGCUCCUACGGGAGGCAGCAGUAGGGAAUCUUCCGCAAUGGGCGAAAGCUUGACGGAGCAACGCCGCGUGAGUGAUGAAGGUCUUCGGAUCGUAAAACUCUGUUAUUAGGGAAGAACAAAUGUGUAAGUAACUAUGCACGUCUUGACGGUACCUAAUCAGAAAGCCACGGCUAACUACGUG